RNAcentral lists this ribosomal RNA (490 nucleotides) under uncultured bacterium. Its description in RNAcentral is "bacterial SSU rRNA". It matches the Rfam family "Bacterial small subunit ribosomal RNA", at positions 29 to 517 of the family's 1533-position model. The record is from RNAcentral.
AUUGAACGCUGGCGGAAUGCUUUACACAUGCAAGUCGAGCGGCAGCGCGGGGGCAACCCUGGCGGCGAGCGGCGAACGGGUGAGUAACAUAUCGGAACGUACCCUGUCGUGGGGGAUAACUAUCCGAAAGGAUAGCUAAUACCGCAUACGACCUGAGGGUGAAAGCGGGGGACCGCAAGGCCUCGCGCGAUAGGAGCGGCCGAUAUCGGAUUAGCUAGUUGGUGAGGUAAUGGCUCACCAAGGCAAAGACGGGUAGCUGGUCUGAGAGGAUGAUCAGCCACACUGGAACUGAGACACGGUCCAGACUCCUACGGGAGGCAGCAGUGGGGAAUAUUGCGCAAUGGGCGAAAGCCUGACGCAGCCACGCCGCGUGAGCGAUGAAGGUCUUCGGAUCGUAAAGCUCUGUGGGGGGAGAAGAAGAAAGCCGGUGAAGAGCCGGCCCUGACGGUAUCCCCUUAGUAAGCACCGGCUAACUCCGUGCCAGCAGCCG